Molecule: ribosomal RNA, 516 nt
Filed under: uncultured bacterium
Lineage: Bacteria
Description: partial 16S ribosomal RNA
Rfam family: Bacterial small subunit ribosomal RNA
Source: RNAcentral
GAUGAACGCUGGCGGCGUGCCUAACACAUGCAAGUCGAACGGAGAUUUCAGCAAUGAAAUCUUAGUGGCGAACGGGUGAGUAACGCGUAGACAACCUGCCUUUUAGAUGGGGACAACACUGGAAAACUAGUGCUAAUACCGAAUGUUGUAGUUUGUUCGCAUGAAUGAACUACCAAAGAUGGCCUCUAUUUAUAAGCUAUCACUAAAAGAUGGGUCUGCGUCUGAUUAGCUAGUUGGUGAGGUAAUGGCUCACCAAGGCGACGAUCAGUAGCCGGUCUGAGAGGAUGAACGGCCACACUGGGACUGAGACACGGCCCAGACUCCUACGGGAGGCAGCAGUGGGGAAUCUUCCGCAAUGGACGAAAGUCUGACGGAGCAACGCCGCGUGAGUGAAGAAGGUUUUCGGAUCGUAAAACUCUGUUUUCAGGGACGAAUGUGCGCAGUGUGAAUAAUGCUGUGUAAUGACGGUACCUGAGUAGAAAGCCACGGCUAACUACGUGCCAGCAGCCGCAGUAA